CUGUGUUUUGAACGAUCAGCGGCGGGCAGAGAGGGGGGUUACGGCAGGUUGUUGUCUUAAACAUUACUGGCACACUGCUCAUAAUUUCUGUCAUUGCAAGUAGGCGUAUCUGUUUAUAGGGGCGCAUGCGAGAACAAACACAGAAGGCAGCGUCACACACACCAUUUCUGUUUAAUUUUAAAGCACAAUUCUUGCGGUUAUGUAAUCGCACAUGACGACAUCGCGAUUGCGAUGAGAUUAAUUGUACAGCCCUAGAGAAGAGUUUAACUGGACUGUUUCAUAACACCAAAUGGUGCAAUGGGACGGACAUCUUUUCUGCUCUUGCUGAUCUCUCUGCUGAGCUGCAGGACCAGCGGAGGUGAGUGAACUCUGACACUCAAAGCUGUUCACAUAACGCUUUCUGGUAAAAAGUCAUGUAAAAUGGGAAGAGAUGUAAAGAGUUUGAACACAACAAUAAAAAAACAAAGGCCACCACCUCUUCUUUUUUCCACAUGUUGGUUAAAUAGCAUUCAUUUCUAUUCCUGGUAACACUGCAACUUUAACACCAGAGCUGGGCAGCAUCGGAGACGUUACAGACACAGCUGUGGAAAGUUGGGAGCUGAGCGCUGUGGAUCUUCUGAAUCUUUAUUCAUAAUGCGGCAGCUGCAAAAGUUUGAUUAGCUAGGCCAACUUCAUCAAUCCCCCCUAAAUUCUGUCAACAAUAUAAUUGAAAUAAAGGAUAAAUUGAUAUUGGUAUUUUCACUGUCGUUUUUAAUGAUUAACAAAUGCUUAAAUAACUGACCUCUCUGGGCUGGUUGGAAAUGAAUAAUGAUAAUAAAGCUUGGUCUGUUUCCCUGAGCUAAUUACUUCAAACCAACUGUGCUGUUGAUGUCCAAGCUGUGGGGGGAGAAGUACUGUGGCCAAGUGUGUUAGUAACCACUGAUUAGUUAAGCAUAUCCGGUCGUUAACUAUCCAACAAAGUGUCAAGUUUUUACUGUGAGACAUCUGGGGUCUCAUUUCUAAAUGCAUCGUUUAACACAAAAAAGAGCUGGAAACGUGUGUACGCCACUUCCCAAGCAAAGGUUGUGAUCCAAAAAAAAAAAAAAAAACCUUGACGGGAAAAUGUGCGUCCCGUAAUUAAACUUUGAACCAUGCGUACGCAUAUAAAGAACAGAAAAGAGAAACGGCGACUCACAUGGCAAGAAGAUGAAACGGUUUGAAAUGUUCAUGAAAUUUUAAUAGGCUACGUUCGGAUAGUUUUGGUUUGGUUUCACAUUGUAUUUCUGCAGCACACUGAAUAACUUUACAGGACAGACCUGCGUCCUGCCUAUGUGGGCUGCGUCUCCCUAUACUUGACAUUGGUUGGUUUAUAAAUAGUUCUGCGAGGAGCUUUGAAGAGAAUGAAUGAAUGAUGAACAGAUGCAUAUCGUUGCCACUAUAUUAUUAUGGUAUUACUAUACAGGAGGCUACGGUUUGAAAUGAAUAGGCCUACUACUGUGUAAAAUAUAUCGAAAUAUUACCUCUGAGUAUUAUAGGCUUAAAGCCUUUCCAAAUAAUCAUACACUCAUUUGAUAGAUUUUCCCUUAAGCGCAAAAAAAAUAUCCAAAUUUAGGAUCAUAAACACAAACGGAGAUAUGACAUCCGCAAAACAACUCAUAUAGGCCUAUGUUGUACAGUGUAAUAAGGAAUCACAUUAAUCAAUACUUGAAUGCAGCGCAAUUUAUUCUCAUAAAUAAGGUGAACAGGAGGACAAAUUUUAUUUAAACUGAUUUCAAUGUGUCAGUUGAGCAAAUAGGAGAGCAUAGUUUCACAUAGCCUACUGUUAUCAGAUGUUUGUUGCCUUAUCGAGCCAAACGCUGUGGGCCAGCGUGUGGAUGUGAUGCGCUGCUUGUAAAAACACAUUAUGGAAAAAUAACACUAUUUUAUUGUCAUCCAACGAAGGUUAAAAUCAAGGGCAACUGGACAUGGUUGAAGAUCUUCAACCGACCUGGAUGACUUAGAAUCUUCAUAGACAUAUUUUAUUGUCAUUUACAACAAGUCAUGUUUAUUUUAAUCAGCAGCCUCCUUAAGUGAGUGGAGUGUUUGUGUAGUGAGUGGAGUGUUUGUGUAGUGUUGAAUGUUUAAACGCAAGCGUUGUGCUUUUGGUUUACUCAAAUGGGGGAAUCCAAAUUAGUACCUGGGUCAUCCCGUCUGUGUGUGUUUCUCCCUUCAGCCAGUGACGUCACUACUCAAGACGGGUUACCCACCAAACAGCUUCAGCUUCACCAAAAAGAACGUCAGUGUCACACUGAGUUAAAUUUCGUUUUGUAGCUUCUCUGUCAGAAUCUCUGUCUCCUUUCCUUCAUGCAGUCAGUACGUAUUAAUAUUAAUGAAGGGCGUUUCACUGACUAUUUAGAGGAAACUAUGGGUGAUUGGAGCUCCCUCACAUGCGCCACAUUUCAAGUUGAUUGUGAUUUAUAAAGGGAACAUUGUUUACAAGUGUGCGUACGCACUUUUUUAUAAGUCUGAAUAUUUUUUGCAGUACACCAUUUUUUGGCUUUUGGACACACGUACACUUAGUGAGGUUUCUACGCACAGUUUUAUAAAUGAGACCAUUGUUCAUUUAGCUAAAAAAUGUAACGUAUCUGCUCCAGCCUCUCUGACUGUGAGUCCCAGCAGCUCUCAGUUUUUCAUCAGGAAGUCUGUCUCUCUGAGCUGUGAGGAGGACGACAGCUCUGCUGGAUGGACGCUGAGGAGGAACACAACCAGAGGAACCAGGACUCAGUGUGGAGCUGACUGGGGAAGAUCAGCUGGUUCUUCCUGUAACAUCAGCUACAUCACCAAAUUGGACAGUGGAGUUUACUGGUGUGAGUCCAGAGAGGGAGCAACCAGUAACACCAUCAACAUCACUGUCACUGGUGGACCAGUGAUCCUGCAGAGUCCUGUCCUCCCUGUGAUGGAGGGACAUGAUGUCACUCU
Long non-coding RNA from Micropterus salmoides (largemouth bass), 2937 nucleotides. RefSeq lists it as uncharacterized. The record is from RefSeq and is a predicted model, not a curated record. The transcript has 3 exons. NCBI's taxonomy places the organism in Eukaryota, Metazoa, Chordata, Actinopteri, Centrarchiformes, Centrarchidae.